GCCGCCCGCCCCGCGGCCCUCCUCCCAGUCUUGCACAGCCCUCCUGUUCUCUGCGCUGUGCGCCUGUCGCCGGCCUCUUUUCACGCGGAGAUGGCGGGCGGGUCUGCAGCUACUGUGUAUCCGAUCCCCGCCGGCCCUUCUCGCCUCCGCAGCUCGGGCGCCGAGAGUUCGUCUCUCAUCUGCCGAAGCGCAGCGGCCUCAGUUCUUGGCGCAGGCUGCCGCAGUGCUUUAAGAGGCUAACACAGAAGGGUAAAGUAAGUCUCCAUAAAACCCAGAGAAGAGAUGACCAGCUCCUCUUUGGAUCCUGUCUGGAGUCACAACUGAACAAGAAAUGUGUUUACACUUCCAGGACCUUUGGUUAGAAGCCGGAAGUACCAGUUACUGGAGUUCUGCUGGAGUUCGGAUGUCCCAAUGCUGGUAUUUCAAUGGACUUAGACCAACUGAAGUUCUGUCAUUGCGAUAGGAUAGGAAAGCAUGAUUAAGGAGGUCAGAUACGGUCCCUUAACCUGGUCCCUGCACUGCCACCAGAGUUAGAGCAGCAGGAUAGUGCUGGUAGUCUCAGGGCUGUGUGAACUGGUACCUCAUUUUCACCUUUGAAUUCUUACAAAUCUGAAGUAGAGAUUGUUCUUCCAAUUUGCAGAUGAAGAAGCAGGCCAGAUGGUAGCUUAAGUUCUACCACAUGUAUGCUAUAAGCUGCUUGCUUUGGUUUUUUAGAUGGUAAAUUCAAGUCUUGUUUCAGUUAAAUCAGUUGUGGGUUCAAGUCCUAGCAACACUAUUUAGAGCAUAAAAUAUAACACUGAUGGGGUCCUUGUGAUCAUGUUCUUUGGGGGCUUCUUGUCCUUUGAGAAUUGAAAUGAGAAAUGAUUCUAGCAUACCUAAAUGCAGUCCGUUUGAGUUUGCUGUCACACUGCCUGCACUUAGUCCUCCCUGAGUUUGGGAGGAGACGGGGAUGGGUCUUUAAACCGCUGUGGCACUCUCCAGCUAGACCUGUUCUGCCAAAGAUGUGGGAAAGGGGAUAAAGUCUCACAUUGUCUUUUUUGAUUUUACACCAAAAUAAGAACCAUCAGAAAAGCUGAAAUUUGCAGCAGGGUGAACAGGCCUCCCCGAGGCAGCUGGAUGACCUGUCCUUGCUAACUGCUGUCCACCUCCAUGUAUAAGCCAGGCAGACAGAGUAAUGGAUUGCAGGCCUUUCUGCUGGACCAUCUAGGGCAGUGGCCACAUAGAACCCUACUGCUCUGCUCCCUGAUGCUGACAAGCUGUCCACAGCUGUGUAAAAAUGACUGGCAUUGAUUCAAGCAGACCAGACUUGACUGUCCAGCCUCGAGAGGAGUCAGACCUAGAUCCCUUAAGAUUAAUUUUUAAAAAAGGAAGCGAGGGGAGGCAUUACUGAAACUGACUAGAAUGAGCCUGUUGCCCGUACCUGUUUAGGUGUUCUUGCAGGCCUUAUAUGCAAAAGAAUACAUCUGACCUCAAGUUACCCAAAGAGGAAUCAAAAUAGGGAGGGACUGUGGGCACAACCGCAAGGGUAAGUCCAAGCUCUCCCAGGAUGAGAACCAAAAGCGUGGGUUCCCAGAAGUCCUACAUGCAGACCUAAGACCUAAAGACUAGAAUAUCCCUACCAGUAGCCAGUCCCAAACAAAUAACCUGAGGGCCAUCGACCCCACCCUUGCUAACUAUCCAGGACAAGUCCUUUGCCCUGAAUGGUCAGAGACAGAUUGGAGCUUUACUUCUGUCCUGUAGCUGGUCAGUUAAUGCAAUAAAGUUUUGCUCUGAGA
Long non-coding RNA from Tupaia belangeri chinensis (Chinese tree shrew), 1775 nucleotides. RefSeq lists it as uncharacterized. The record is from RefSeq and is a predicted model, not a curated record. NCBI's taxonomy places the organism in Eukaryota, Metazoa, Chordata, Mammalia, Scandentia, Tupaiidae. The transcript is spliced from 4 exons.